GGUUAAGCGACUAAGCGUACACGGUGGAUGCCCUGGCAGUCAGAGGCGAUGAAGGGCGUGCUAAUCUGCGAUAAGCGCCGGUAAGGUGAUAUGAACCGUUAUAACCGGCGAUACCCGAAUGGGGAAACCCAGUGUGAUUCGUCACACUAUCAUUAACUGAAUCCAUAGGUUAAUGAGGCGAACCGGGGGAACUGAAACAUCUAAGUACCCCGAGGAAAAGAAAUCAACCGAGAUUCCCCCAGUAGCGGCGAGCGAACGGGGAGGAGCCCAGAGCCUGAAUCAGCAUGUGUGUUAGUGGAAGCGUCUGGAAAGGCGCGCGAUACAGGGUGACAGCCCCGUACACAAAAGCGCAUGUGCUGUGAGCUCGAUGAGUAGGGCGGGACACGUGGUAUCCUGUCUGAAUAUGGGGGGACCAUCCUCCAAGGCUAAAUACUCCUGACUGACCGAUAGUGAACCAGUACCGUGAGGGAAAGGCGAAAAGAACCCCGGCGAGGGGAGUGAAAAAGAACCUGAAACCGUGUACGUACAAGCAGUGGGAGCCCCACCACUAAGCCAGUGGUGAACUCCACAUACGCAUCCUUUGCUGAAGGCAAUGGUUAACGGAGCGAAAGCGACGUUCAACCGCAAAACAAGCAGAGGGGGCUUAGUGGUGGGGUGACUGCGUACCUUUUGUAUAAUGGGUCAGCGACUUAUAUUCUGUAGCAAGGUUAACCGUAUAGGGGAGCCGGAGGGAAACCGAGUCUUAAUUGGGCGUUAAGUUGCAGGGUAUAGACCCGAAACCCGGUGAUCUAGCCAUGGGCAGGUUGAAGGUUGGGUAACACUAACUGGAGGACCGAACCGACUAAUGUUGAAAAAUUAGCGGAUGACCUGUGGCUGGGGGUGAAAGGCCAAUCAAACCGGGAGAUAGCUGGUUCUCCCCGAAAGCUAUUUAGGUAGCGCCUCGUGAAUUCAUCUCCGGGGGUAGAGCACUGUUUCGGCUAGGGGGCCAUCCCGGCUUACCAACCCGAUGCAAACUGCGAAUACCGGAGAAUGUUAUCACGGGAGACACACGGCGGGUGCUAACGUCCGUCGUGAAGAGGGAAACAACCCAGACCGCCAGCUAAGGUCCCAAAGUCAUGGUUAAGUGGGAAACGAUGUGGGAAGGCCCAGACAGCCAGGAUGUUGGCUUAGAAGCAGCCAUCAUUUAAAGAAAGCGUAAUAGCUCACUGGUCGAGUCGGCCUGCGCGGAAGAUGUAACGGGGCUAAACCAUGCACCGAAGCUGCGGCAGCGAACGUAUCACUUAAAGCGAUUCAGCGGGUUACGAUUGACGGAGCGAAGCGACGUCAAAGCGUAUACAAAGUCGAGUCGGUUUAAGGAUACGUUCGUUGGGUAGGGGAGCGUUCUGUAAGCCUGCGAAGGUGGCCUGUGAGGGUUGCUGGAGGUAUCAGAAGUGCGAAUGCUGACAUAAGUAACGAUAAAGCGGGUGAAAAGCCCGCUCGCCGGAAGACCAAGGGUUCCUGUCCAACGUUAAUCGGGGCAGGGUGAGUCGACCCCUAAGGCGAGGCCGAAAGGCGUAGUCGAUGGGAAACGGGUUAAUAUUCCCGUACUUGGUGUUACUGCGAAGGGGGGACGGAGAAGGCUAUGUUGGCCGGGCGACGGUUGUCCCGGUUUAAGCGUGUAGGCUGGUUUUCCAGGCAAAUCCGGAAAAUCAAGGCUGAGGCGUGACGACGAGGCACUACGGUGCUGAAGCAACAAAUGCCCUGCUUCCAGGAAAAGCCUCUAAGCAUCAGGUAA
This 1774-nucleotide ribosomal RNA is filed under the name Salmonella enterica. RNAcentral's name for it is "partial 23S ribosomal RNA". It matches the Rfam family "Bacterial large subunit ribosomal RNA", at positions 1 to 1634 of the family's 2925-position model. The record is from RNAcentral. Lineage: Bacteria; Pseudomonadati; Pseudomonadota; Gammaproteobacteria; Enterobacterales; Enterobacteriaceae.